RNAcentral lists this ribosomal RNA (1325 nucleotides) under metagenome. RNAcentral describes it as "bacterial LSU rRNA". It matches the Rfam family "Bacterial large subunit ribosomal RNA", at positions 1561 to 2925 of the family's 2925-position model. The record is from RNAcentral.
AGUGGAUGGGGAGCAACCUAGUUGUGCGUGUGUAAAGGUAGUGCCAAGAAAAGCGAUGAUCAUGUUGAAAAUCAAUUCCCGGUACCCGAAACCGACACAGGUGGGCAAGUAGAGAAUACUAAGGGGCGCGAGGUAACUCUCUCCAAGGAACUCGGCAAAAUGACCCCGUAACUUAGGGAGAAGGGGUGCCACCGAGAGGUGGUCGCAGUGAAGAGGCCCAGGCGACUGUUUAGCAAAAACAUAGGUCUCUGCAAACUCGAAAGAGGAGGUAUAGGGGCUGACGCCUGCCCAGUGCCGGAAGGUUAAAGAAGUUGGUCAGUUUUAGGAUGAAGCUAGCGACUGAAGCCCCGGUGAACGGCGGCCGUAACUAUAACGGUCCUAAGGUAGCGAAAUUCCUUGUCGGGUAAGUUCCGACCCGCACGAAAGGCGUAACGAUCUGGGCGCUGUCUCGGAGAGAGGCUCGGCGAAAUAGGAUUGUCUGUGAAGAUACGGACUACCUGCAUUUGGACAGAAUGACCCUAUGAAGCUUUACUAUAGCUUGGAAUUGUGUUCGGGCUUCCUGUGCGCAGGAUAGGUGGGAGGCGUAGAAGGUAUUCUUGUGGGGAUACUGGAGCCAACGGUGAGAUACCACUCUCAGGAGGCUAGAAUUCUAACUUAAUUAAGGACAGUUUCAGGUGGGUAGUUUGACUGGGGCGGUCGCCUCCAAAAAGGUAACGGAGGCGUACAAAGGUUCCCUCAGACUGGUUGGAAAUCAGUCGAAGAGUGCAAAGGCAGAAGGGAGCUUGACUGCGAGAAGUACAGUUCGAGCAGGGUGGAAACACGGUCUUAGUGAUCCGACGGUGCUGUGUGGAAGGGCCGUCGCUCAACGGAUAAAAGUUACUCUAGGAUAACAGGCUGAUCUCCCCCAAGAGUUCACAUCGACGGGGAGGUUUGGCACCUCGAUGUCGGCUCAUCGCAACCUGGGGCGGAAGUACGUCCCAAGGGUUGGGCUGUUCGCCCAUUAAAGCGGUACGUGAGCUGGGUUCAGAACGUCGUGAGACAGUUCGGUCCAUAUCCGAUGUAGGCGUGAGAAUAUUGAGAGGAGCCUUCCUUAGUACGAGAGGACCGGGAAGGACGCACCGCUGGUGUACCUGUUAUGAUGCCAAUUGUAAACGCAGGGUAGCCAAGUGCGGAGAGGAUAACCGCUGAAAGCAUCUAAGUGGGAAGCCCACCUCAAGAUGAGUAUUCUGGUGUAAGGUCACGGGAAGACGACCCGUAAAUAGGCACGAGGUGGAAGUGCAGAGAUGUAUGAAGCCGAAGUGUACUAAUAGACCGUCGGCUUGACC